CCGGGGAUUUCCGAAUGGGGCAACCCAAUAGUUUUAAUCGACUAUUAUCCGCAUCUGAAUACAUAGGAUGUGUGAAGGUAAACGUGGGGAACUGAAACAUCUCAGUACCCGCAGGAACAGAAAGAAAAUUCGAUUCCCUGAGUAGCGGCGAGCGAAACGGGAAGAGCCCAAACCAGGAAGCUUGCUUCCUGGGGUUGUAGGACUGAACAUUUGAGUUACCAAAGAACUUGAUAGCUGAAGAAUCUGGGAAGAUUCGCCAGAGAGGGUGAUAGCCCCGUAAGUUAAAUCAAGUUCUCUCAGUUCAGGAUCCUGAGUACGGCGGAGCACGUGAAAUUCCGUCGGAAUCCGGGAGGACCAUCUCCCAAGGCUAAAUACUACCUAGUGACCGAUAGUGAACCAGUACCGUGAGGGAAAGGUGAAAAGCACCCCGGAAGGGGAGUGAAAUAGUUCCUGAAACCAUGUGCCUACAAGAAGUCAGAGCCCGUUAAUGGGUGAUGGCGUGCCUUUUGUAGAAUGAACCGGCGAGUUACGUUCGUAUGCCAGGUUAAGUUGAAGAGACGGAGCCGAAGCGAAAGCGAGUCUGAAUAGGGCGAUAUAAGUAUGCGGAUGUAGACCCGAAACCAAGUGACCUACCCAUGUCCAGGUUGAAGGUGCAGUAAAAUGCACUGGAGGACCGAACUCGUGUACGUUGAAAAGUGCUGAGAUGAGGUGUGGGUAGCGGUGAAAUUCCAAACGAACUUGGAGAUAGCUGGUUCUCUCCGAAAUAGCUUUAGGGCUAGCCUCGGAAUUAGGAUCGUGGAGGUAGAGCCACUGUUUGGACUAGGGGCCCAUCAAGGGUUACCGAAUUCAGAUAAACUCCGAAUGCCAUCGAUUUAUGUCCGGGAGUCAGACGGUGAGUGAUAAGAUCCAUCGUCGAAAGGGGAACAGCCCAGACCACCAGUUAAGGUCCCUAAAUAUAUGUUAAGUGGA
This 969-nucleotide ribosomal RNA is filed under the name Pediococcus pentosaceus. RNAcentral describes it as "partial 23S ribosomal RNA". It matches the Rfam family "Bacterial large subunit ribosomal RNA", at positions 104 to 1067 of the family's 2925-position model. Lineage: Bacteria; Bacillati; Bacillota; Bacilli; Lactobacillales; Lactobacillaceae. The record is from RNAcentral.